GUGAAUCAUCGAAUCUUUGAACGCAAAUUGCACUCUCUGGUAUUCCGGAAAGUAUGCCUGUUUGAGGGUCAGUUUAAUUAAAAUCGGGGUUGUUGCUGCCUUUCGUGGUGACGGGUCGGGAUUUGGUCGUCUUACCUUCGGUUUAGUUACUUAAAAUUUUUGCAUGAUUUUUGUCCGUCUUUAAUUAGUUUACGUACGUUUGAGUUCUCGAAUGAAUA
RNAcentral lists this unclassified non-coding RNA (218 nucleotides) under Glomus sp. RNAcentral's name for it is "partial contains 5.8S ribosomal RNA and internal transcribed spacer 2". The stretch from base 1 to 71 matches the Rfam family "5.8S ribosomal RNA", at positions 84 to 154 of the family's 154-position model. The record is from RNAcentral. Lineage: Eukaryota; Fungi; Glomeromycota; Glomeromycetes; Glomerales; Glomeraceae.